AACUUUCAACAACGGAUCUCUUGGCUCUCGCAUCGAUGAAGAACGCAGCGAAAUGCGAUAAGUAAUGUGAAUUGCAGAAUUCAGUGAAUCAUCGAAUCUUUGAACGCACCUUGCGCCCCUUGGCAUUCCGGGGGGCAUGCCUGUUUGAGUGUCACGUUA
RNAcentral lists this ribosomal RNA (159 nucleotides) under uncultured fungus. RNAcentral's name for it is "5.8S ribosomal RNA". It matches the Rfam family "5.8S ribosomal RNA". Rfam says of the family: 5.8S ribosomal RNA (5.8S rRNA) is a component of the large subunit of the eukaryotic ribosome. It is transcribed by RNA polymerase I as part of the 45S precursor that also contains 18S and 28S rRNA. The record is from RNAcentral. Lineage: Eukaryota; Fungi.